This 8942-nucleotide long non-coding RNA is filed under the name Homo sapiens (human). RNAcentral's name for it is "HSALNT0333223". The record is from RNAcentral. Lineage: Eukaryota; Metazoa; Chordata; Mammalia; Primates; Hominidae.
UGAAAAAUGCCUGAGUUGGAGUUAGCUAAAUGGAGGUGUGGUUGAGUGAGAGGGGCCAUGAUUAGCAAAAGAAAGAGCUUGAGCCAAGAGGUGAAAGCAAGAAAGUGUAUCCUGAAGGACAUAGAAGGGACAAGAGGCAGGAAGGCUUUCUCUGGUAUCCUAAAGAGUUUGGGCUUGACCCUGGAUGGAGAACUGCUAGGAGAAUUUGGGUAAGGCAAAGACACAACUAUUACAUUUUAGAAAAAAAUGAUACCACUGGCAAUACAGAAAAUGUAUCAAAGUUGAAGCCACUGGGUACAUCAUGGUUCAAGUCGCUGAGAAUGAGAACUGAUAGAGACCUAAGGGGGUGGCAAGUAGAGGGGAAUUCAUGAUGAACUCAGUUUGGAAUAUGUUGAAUUCACAUAUUCAGAGAAAUGUUUAGGGUAGUGGGGAAGACAAGAUUUGGGCAUAAGAGAGAGAAGAAAAAUUUGAGAGGUUGAGAUUGUGCAGUGCUUUAUCAUAGCAUGUAUGAUCUCUUGACACAUUCUUUAUUUCAUGUCUUCCCUGACUAGAAAUAAACUUCACGAGGGUGAGAACUUUGCUUUAUUUCCACCAUCUAGAACUGUGCCUGAACCACAGGGAGCACUCAGGAAAAAUUUACUGAAAAGAUGAAUUAUUCAGAAUUGUAGUUGAAAAGGUGUCUUCAGAGGAGUUUACUUACAUGCAGUGGACAUGAAAUAGGGCAUAGAGUGAAACCGUAGGCAAAACAUUGGGUGGAUAAUGUCAUUUGAUGCCAAAAAAGAAGCACUGAGGAAUUAGGAAAAACAAGAGAUAAUGAGGUCCCAGGUGACAAUGGAAGCAGUUGUGGAAAACUGCUUUAAAUGUCAUAGAGCACUCAGAAGGAAUUCAUAAAUGACCUCAUAAAGAAGUCCACUGUGGUUUCCCUGCAGAGGUGGGAAUAGAAUCAGAGUGCUAAGGAUUGAGGGAUUAAGAGGAGGUGAUUGUAUUAUUCCUCUUUUCAGAUAAUGGAGAGAGAGAAGAGAACAGCAGUAGCCGUUGCCAGAAAUAUUGAGCAAGGCGGAUUUAUUAGAUGAAGAUAUCAAAAUACUUUCCAUUGAGGAAACAGGUUGGAGGUGGGAGGCUGUAACCAUGCUUGAUUUUGUACCACCCUAACCUUUGCUUGUAAGUAUACUUUUUGAAAACCCAUUUUAUUGAACUGAAAUGUAUUUUGUUCUGAAGGGUUGAAAAAGGCUAAAGAAGUGGGAAGGAAUUUUUGUUAAACCUUAUACAAUAAGGGAAAAUUUUCCAGCAACAUGGAAAGACAUCAGAAUUGAAAUCCUAGUGAACUACUAACUAUGUGAAAUGGACAAGUGGCUUAUUAUUCCAAUUUUACAGAAAAGAAAAAUGAGACAUAAAUGUUAACAUCUAUGUGUAUGAUGAUUACGUGAGAUAAAUUUGGGUCUCUAUUUUGAGUGUUUUGUGGGCAGGAAUGGAUUAGGACUUUCUAAAAUAUUAAAUGGGCCAAUCUAAAUAUGUGAUCAAAAUUUUUCAGAGGUAUAUUUUGUGGUAUUUACAGCAAGAUGAGAAUGUAUUUUAAAUUGAUCUUUGAUCAUAUUUUUAUCUUUUAAACAUGUUCUGCCUCAUUUUCUCUGUAAUAAUAACUAUAAUUAUAUCCAUUCCUCAUUAUAAAGCUGCUCUUUUUUCUUUUCUGACAUUCUGCCUUCAUCGACUAAUGGUGGUGAGGCUACUACCUCCUGAGGUUACUUAUAAAAUUAAAGCGAUUGGGAAGGAAUGUUACAUGCAGUCCACAUUGUAUGUGAUACCGAGAGGAGACAGGAGGGCAGAGUCCCUGAUGAGAGCUCCACCCUUAAGCCUGGACCCGUGGCCCUGAAUGAGAACAGGCAUUGCUGCUUUCCUGCCCAAAGGCUGCUUUUUCCAAAACCACCGUGGCCCACCAUGUCCCCUAUCCUGUACCUAUAAAAACCCCAAACUCCACUGGCAGAGGAAUAGAGUGGCACAGCAGAGAAGGAAAGAAUAGAAGUGUCUGAAUGUCAAAGAGGGAGCUGGACAGUCAGAGAGGAGUUUGGCUGGGGACAGCUGAGCUCCAGGGGAAGAUCAUCUUCCCACUCCAUCCCCUUUCCAGCCCCCCAACCCACAAAGAGCCACCUCCAUCAUUCAGUAAAACCUCUGCAUUCACCAUCCUUCAAGUCCAUGUGACCUGAUUCUUCUUGUACUCUGGACAAAAAUCCAGGUUCCAAGAGGGCAGGGUAUAUGUCACCCUGAUUCUCCACGGGACUGUUUAACACUUAGCCCUCUGUGGACAGCAACUGCUAAAAGAGCAUUAAUUGUAACACAUGCCCUCUGGGGCUCCAGAGGUUGUGCGCAACUGCUAGAUGCUGCCCCUGGCGCCCAAAGGCACUAGCCCUGGUUCCCAUACCCACUUACCUGCAUGCUCCCACUCCUGCAAGGGGCUUGAGUUCAGCAACAAAGCAAAACAAGCUACCACCAACCCUCCACACCCUCCCUGUGGCAAGACUCGCAAGAGGGUCAGGGAACUCUCCCCCGUCAUAUGCGUUAUUCCAGUUUAGUUACCUACAAAAUAAACUUGCCAGAAUUAGUGUUUACUACAUAAGCUAAGCACCUAUUUCAACAUGUGUGAGCUUCUAAAAAGCAAAUCAAUGCUCUUCUGUCCAAUUUUGGCCAAGGCUUCAUGAUCUCUUUCCUUAAAACAUCAACUUAAAUUUUACCAUUACUUUUCUCUCUUCCUUCCCCUUAUCCUAUUUAACUAUUAUUAGAGACAUUUUAAAAAAAUUCCUUUCCUUUUCCAUGCUUGGUUUCCUCAAUAGCGAUUUUAUAUAGAAAACAUUUGACAUUAUAGUCUAGCUUUUCAUAGUUAAAAUUAAAUAUUUCAUUAAAAAGAGGAGUCUAUUUUUUCAGACUUGUAGGGCUCUGGGAAGUGGACUUAUGAAAAAAAUGACUUUGUAUUUAUUUACAGAUAAAUAACCAUGUGUCUGUAAUUAGUAAGAGAUCCACUGUAUGUAAUUUAUCUUUUUCUUAUGUGUUACCUGUUAAAGAUGACCUUGUGUUUCCCGACAUGCUGUCAAGUGAAAGAUUUUGUAAGAAUCCUUCUAUAUUCCUACAUUAUUUUAUUGCAUUGCUCAUCAAUUUUGCAUUUUCUCCCUCUCUUAUGAUCCUAGCCUUUCCUUUAUUAGAAGUAAUUAUCUAGUUCAUAGAAAAUUGUUUAAUUUGGUUAUUUUCAUUACUUCAAAGAGAAAUUCUAAUGUAGAACGAUUUGUUUAUAUAUCUCUUGCAGACUCAAAAUACACACCACUAUUAUAAAAACCUUCCCUGCCUAGCUCAUAUUUCCCCCGACUCCUACCCCAUGGUUCCCUAGCUUAUUGAAUGUACUCAUAGCAUCUCUUUUAGUCUGUAUUGCUAUCAUGUGUUUUUCUAAUCUGUUCCCCAUAGUAACAGUGAAAUCCUUGAGGGCACGAGUCUUAUCUUUUUCAACUCUAUUUUCAGCACCUCGCAUUGUGAGUUGGUGUAAGUAGUUCAGUAAAUAACUGUAGAUGUCAAAAUAAAUAAAUGUCAGCUAAUUUUUAUGUAUAUUCAAAGAUAAAAUUUUAUUUAUUGUCAUAAUUACCUUUACCCAAUCUAUUUUUUAUUGUUUGUUUCAAAUUACACCAAUAAAAAUGUGACAAUAACCAUGCUCAUCCUUAGACUAACACCAAUGUUUAGAAGCAGUUUCACCAUAUAGUUCCAUUUUUAAAAAAUUCUAAAUAUUUGCUAUAUUCUUUAAUUGAGUCUUCCCAAAGCAAUCUUUGAACUAAUUGUUGGUUUCUCAGAUUUCUAUUUUGUUAUCUUUAAGACACUCUUUAAAUCUCAUCAAAAAUCUUCAUGGAAAUUAAUUACAUUGUACCCAAACGUUAUAAAAUCUUACCAUUUAAAGAUACUUUAGAGUUCAUUUGAACUAUUCUUCAAAGAAUUAGCAAUGAAGUUCUUUUGGAUUGAUUGAUAUUCAUGUACCCAAGAAAGAUAGGUAGAAUAUUAAUUCAUUUUAUUAUUUCCAAAGAGAAGGUGUGAAAAUAAACUAGAACACAGUUGAGUUGGCAGAACUGAGUUUGUGUUUACAAAACUGAAAAGGCUGGACCACAAUGUGGUUUACUGGUGAUAUAUUAAUUUAGAUAACAAUUAAAUCUCGGAGACUUACCAUAUUGAAAGUUUAUUUUUUGGUUUACACAAAUCUGAUAUACUGGAUAGGGGCUUUUCUCCUUUCAUUUACUCAAGGAUCCAGGUUCCAGUCCAAUAUGCACCAUUCAGCCUGGUUGCAGCAUGUUAAGCAGCCCUGGAGGCAGCAGAUGAGGGAUCCUAUGAAGCAACUUUCAGACAUUCAGAACCAAGACAAAAAAAAAGAGAAUUAAAGUAAAAUAUGAUGUACCCAGGAGUUACAUCAGUGAACCAAAUACAGCCUCAAAUUUCGAUCUGUGCUUCACAGCAGCCAGCAAAAAGAACAAAACAUAUUUUGUUAGUUCAUAUAAAUAAAUAAAUUAAAAAUGCAUGAAUAAAUAAAUAAAGCAAACCAGUUUCUCGAUUCUGAAAUAUUUUCUGGAAGUGAGAACUGAAAGGAAUUUCCACCAUGGACCCACAAGCAGUUGUUGGUGGCAUAUAUAAUGAGUGCUGGGUGUUAAGGAAGCAAUGGUGAAGGAGAGACACCCUCCCGACCCUCAUGGUGCUUGCAGCCUAGUGGAGCUAUGAAAAGAUAGGCAAGUGAGUCCUAUGAUUGGAGAAGUAAUGAGAAGUAAUGAGAAGCGUCUUCUAAGCAUAGGGGUAAAGACUGCAAAGACCCUGAAGGGAGAAAGUAAUGGCCAUUCUGAGAACUGAAAGUUUGCACAGUGCACAGAGGGCAUGAAGAACGAAGGAAAGAUGGCAAGUUGCUUAAAACCUAAAGCUCCUUUCAAUUCUUUACAAUCCAAGAUUAUAUGGAAUGGACUGGGAACAAAGAGAGGGACUGGCAUUUAAAGUCUUUUAUACACUUUGGAACAAAUGUUAUUCUCCAUUCAUCCUGACACUAAAUUGGUUAGCCAAACCCAAAGAUCUACUAAUAAUCCUGCUUUGGCAUGGGAGAAUGAGUGAGAUAAGGAGGCAAUAGAGGAGAUGAAUCGACAAAUGGAAGGAAUAGAAUUCUGGUUGAUGUCCUUGUCUCUAAGCUGUAGCAGCAAGUAUUUAUCCUAAUCAUGUGGUGUUAGCACGGAGAUGAGAAAGAGAGAAAGACAACAUCAUGCUUUGCUGUCUGUGUGUGAACUGAGUAACAGCUGUGAAGGAUCAGUCACCAAAAGACUUUGAAAGAAGAGGCUUGAUUGGUCACGGUAAUGAUGCUCCCCUGGCCAUGGAAGUUUAAUUGGGAGAAAAGAACAUCUGCUUAUACGAAAACAUAUUAUAUUCAGCCAUCCCUGCCCUGACUUUGGCCUUUAAAAACAGUGGCAUUAAUUAUCUCAACAAAUGAAUCUUCGGGAUAAAAAUAAUCUAAAUAUUAUUUUACGCUUACUACAUAUUUGCAACGUGCUAAGCUCUUUAUGGUUGCUACCACAAAAAACAUUUAUAAUAUGAGGUGGGUAUUUUUAUUAUAUACAUUUUCAGUUUAAAGACAGUAACUUCAGAAUGUAACUUGUCCUAGUCACACAAAAGCAGGUGUGGACUAAAACUCAAACCCAUGAUUCUUUCACUUUAAAUGAUAUGGUUCUGAACCAUUAAAUUCGAAUGCUACUAAGAAUGGUGAAUGCUAAGCAAUGUUAAGCUACACAUUGUUAUUAUUAACAAAUAAUUUCAAAAGGGCAGGAGAGGUAGGUUAAAAAUUAAAGGGUUAAGCUGGAAUAACAUGUCAAAUUUCUCAGAGUUUUUUAUUUUCAUGAAAAAAUAUAUUUUAUAUUGCAACAGAAUGAACUUGACUUAACAGUUUAGGUAGCUGAUUGCAUAUAUUUUGAUAGUCCUAUCAUAUUUCCAACAAAUACAUUUUCUCCCCACCCCACCUGCAACUGGAGACUUCACAAGGUUAGGAACAGGCUUCACUUCAUUGUGAUGUGUGUAAGGUGACAGAGGACAUAUAACGAAUACGUGGAAGAACUAGGAAUUUGACCUUAGCUUCCAGACAUUUUGAGGAGGAUACACUAUGUCCAUCUUGCUUUCCUAUCAAGAAAAGUAUACCCAGUUUGUGCAGUAGCCCUGUACCAACAGAUACAUUACAGCAGGUUGUUUCCGUAUUUUGGCUAUUGUGAAUAGUGCUGCAAUAAACAUGGAAGUGCUGAUAUAUCUUUGAGAUCUUGACUUCAAACAAAAGAAGAAAAUCUUGCAAUAUAUGACAACACGGAUUAACCUGGAGGACAUUGUGCUUAGUGAAGUUAGCCAGUCACAGACUGACAAGUACUGCACGAUUCCACUUAUGAAGACUACAGUUCCUAUCUUCACAGGUGGCUGUUAGCUCUAAAUGAACUCAUUUAUUUUGAAAGCAUGAUUUAAAGUAUAGUUUUAAACUAUAAGCAUUUCAGAAGUGAUGACCCAUGACUCAAAUCUCAAAAAUAAAUGCUACAGUUCACAGUUGGAAUAUGGACACAAGAAAAAUAAUAGGUGAGUAAAAAAAGAAUUUUUACCACAGAACAAAAGUUUAUUAAACACAAUUAUGAAUGAAUAUUAAUGUCAACAGAGUGCUUUUUAGAUGCCUCCUAAGCUUUGUAUGCACCUAAAAGAGAUACAAGUCAGCUCAGCUGCUAAGGAAUAGGCAGACCAGAAUGCAGUCAGAGAAAUAAACAGUUGAACAGAUAAUUCCAAAAGGAUGUGAUAAGUGUUAUGGGGGGAAUUCGGAGAAAGUGCCGAGGCAUCACACAGGAGAGACCAGCUGUCCCUGGCAUAGCUGGUGGAGAUCUUAUUAAACAACGAUACUAAGGCUGACUCUUGACUAUGAAACGAAUUUCACAGAGAAACAAGCAAAAAAGCAAUAGAAAUAUUAAUUUGUGUACCCUAUUUCAUGACAAUUAUAUACAAAAACAGAACGUUCAAAGCCUUAGGCAAUAAAACUGAUAUUUCUUGCAACAGGCUUUGGCCAAAAAAGAGUGCAGUUCUGUGAUGAAUAUCAGCUUCAUCAACAUGCCCCAGGCACCGUGAUGUCCCUCCUCUGCUCUGCUGCAUAACAGGGUGGAGACCAAAUCCAACAGUAUGAACAAGCAUCCAUCAAAACCACAGUUCUAUUAUUGAGACCAUUUCUGAUUGAAUUUCCUCAGCAGACUAUCCAAGUCGUCAUGUUCAUCAAGGUAUUCAAUUUAAAUGACCAUUAAAACGAAAUUAAGUUGGUAUUAACCUUGUCUUUUCAGAUGAUGCCACUGAAAGGUAAACAUACCAUUCUGACAUGCAUGAAAAUGAAACGACAAAUUGAUACACGCAGUGCUUGGAAUGGAUGGAGUCCUUCUAAUGAGUGAUUACCUGUGGUAUAACUAUAUUGAUUGUGUUUGUACAUGUCAAAUGGGGCUGGCGAGGAUGAACUUGAAGAAAUCAAUCUUGGAACCUGCUAGGACAGCAGCCUCCUGGUUUCACAGUACUAAAUCAUGACUUCAAAAUUUUGAAGUAAAAGAAAACUGCAAAACUUUGUAAAGGUACCAGUCUCUUCCUGACACUAUUUGCCUUGGCAAAAGAUUCACUGUCAACUUAAAAGACUAACAUGUGCUCAGAUGAUGAUUUGUGGAGGACAGAUAAUUAUGAGUACAUUUAGAAAUACACACUCUUCCAAACCCUGCUCUUUCCAUAUAAUGAAGUUAUUUAUUUCUAUUUUUUAUUUAUUUUUCUAAUAAUUACAAACAUACUUUGGAGACCCACAUUCCUGUAUUAUUCUUUCAACAUACUGAAGAAGAGUUAUUUCUAUGCUUCUUUCUAUGUGUUGGGCUUAAGAUUUAUUAGAAGGAAUGUGUAAAAACAAAGGCAGCAAAGUUUCUAUUUUUAUUGGGAGUCACUCCCGGAGUAAGUGGGGAUAGUUGUGCACACACACACACACACAUUCAUGCACAAAGAAAGAGUGAUCAAGUGUAUAACACACUUUUAGCAGUGUUUUGCUGGAAGAAUAAAGUAUAACUCCUUGUCCGCCCUUUUAUUAUACUGGGGUUCACACUAAGAGAGUCUGAGGACCUGUGGAACUCCCAUUUGCAUGAAAUAACUUUUGCAUCUAUUCUGGAGGAAAACUUCCUAAGGCAGAUUUGGACAGAAAAUUGCUAUCAGCGCAAAUAAAACAAUGCAAAGCCUACUCCGGGGAACGUUGCUCUGCCACCACUACUGAAAUGGGUCAUCCCCUUGGUUUCUGAAUAAAGAAUUAUGAAACCUGGGGCUAGAAUGCUCAGGGAGGAAUUUACCAAUCCAAAUCUUCCCCUUAUGGUAGAGAACAAACUUUCAAGGUUUGUUCUCCACUGUAAGUGUGCGAGGGCUGUUAGGGACCGUAAUAUGGCUGCCGGAGACUGGUGUGUGUACCUCCUUGACUGUACGUCUCAUUUCCAGUUAUGAUUUUACAAUCAUCUCUUUCUCAACCUUUGCUUUUAAAUAUAGGAAGGUACGGCUCACCAUGGAGCGGACAUUUUCUUCAGGAGCGGUACGGUGUCUAAGAUAUGCAGAGGUUGUAUUCUAGUCCUAUAACUCAAUUCUCAAACACAUGGCUUUUAGCCAGGGAUAUCCUAAAGGAAAAUUACACUAUAUGCAACCCCUCCUUACUCCUCAAAUAUUAUCUAUAUUAAACACAGCUGAAAUUUGAGAGUGUCCUUACAGGUGAAAAUUUAACAAUUUAACAAAAGGACACUGCUGAAUGUGUGGGGACAAAGGAAGGAUGAAUCUUUCAUCAUGACAAAAGACUACUUGCCACAUUCUCCCUUAACUUAGAAAAACAGAAAAGAGGCUGGGCGUGGUGGCUCCUGCCUGUAACCUCAGCACUUUGGGAG